CGAGCGGUAACAGAUCCAUGCUUGCUGGCAUGCUGACGAGCGGCGGACGGGUGAGUAAUGCAUAGGAAUCUGCCCGAUAGUGGGGGAUAACCUGGGGAAACCCAGGCUAAUACCGCAUACGUCCUACGGGAGAAAGGGGGCUCCGGCUCCCGCUAUGGGAUGAGCCUAUGUCGGAUUAGCUAGUUGGUGAGGUAACGGCUCACCAAGGCCACGAUCCGUAGCUGGUCUGAGAGGAUGAUCAGCCACAUCGGGACUGAGACACGGCCCGAACUCCUACGGGAGGCAGCAGUGGGGAAUAUUGGACAAUGGGGGCAACCCUGAUCCAGCCAUGCCGCGUGUGUGAAGAAGGCCCUCGGGUUGUAAAGCACUUUCAGCGAGGAAGAACGCCUAGCGGUUAAUACCCGCUAGGAAAGACAUCACUCGCAGAAGAAGCACCGGCUAACUCCGUGCCAGCAGCCGCGGUAAUACGGAGGGUGCAAGCGUUAAUCGGAAUUACUGGGCGUAAAGCGCGCGUAGGUGGCUUGAUAAGCCGGUUGUGAAAGCCCCGGGCUCAACCUGGGAACGGCAUCCGGAACUGUCAAGCUAGAGUGCAGGAGAGGAAGGUAGAAUUCCCGGUGUAGCGGUGAAAUGCGUAGAGAUCGGGAGGAAUACCAGUGGCGAAGGCGGCCUUCUGGACUGACACUGACACUGAGGUGCGAAAGCGUGGGUAGCAAACAGGAUUAGAUACCCUGGUAGUCCACGCCGUAACGAUGUCGACCAGCCGUUGGGUGCCUAGCGCACUUUGUGGCGAAGUUAACGCG
This 800-nucleotide ribosomal RNA is filed under the name Halomonas sp. Its description in RNAcentral is "bacterial SSU rRNA". It matches the Rfam family "Bacterial small subunit ribosomal RNA", at positions 63 to 859 of the family's 1533-position model. Lineage: Bacteria; Pseudomonadati; Pseudomonadota; Gammaproteobacteria; Oceanospirillales; Halomonadaceae. The record is from RNAcentral.